GAAAAUAAAAAGUUUUGGGGAAUAAAAGUUUGAGGGAAAGUAAAUAGGGGGAGUAAAAUUUUGGAGGGAAAAUAUUAAAAAAAAAAUUGGAGGGGGGAGGGUUUGGGGUAGAUGGGAGGUGGGAUGGGAAGAGAAUAAAAGUUUUAGGGGAAAAGUGGGAGGGAGUAAAAAUUUUGGGGGAAAAUAAAAGGUUUUGAGGGUUUUUUAGAGUAAAAUUUUGAAAAAAAAAUGAAUGGAAGAGUAAAAUUUUGGUGGGAAAUGGAUUUUGGGUAGAUUGGGGGGUUGGGAGGGGAGGGGAGUAAAAGUUUUGGG
RNAcentral lists this long non-coding RNA (312 nucleotides) under Gossypium raimondii (Peruvian cotton). RNAcentral describes it as "long non-coding RNA (GRAI_LNC005505)". Lineage: Eukaryota; Viridiplantae; Streptophyta; Magnoliopsida; Malvales; Malvaceae. The record is from RNAcentral.